UACGUAGGGUGCGAGCGUUAAUCGGAAUUACUGGGCGUAAAGCGUGCGCAGGCGGUUCGCCAAGUCAGGUGUGAAAUCCCCGGGCUUAACCUGGGAAUUGCGCUUGAAACUAGCGGGCUUGAGUGUGGCAGAGGGGGGUGGAAUUCCACGUGUAGCAGUGAAAUGCGUAGAGAUGUGGAGGAACACCGAUGGCGAAGGCAGCCCCCUGGGUCAACACUGACGCUCAUGCACGAAAGCGUGGGGAGCAAACGGG
RNAcentral lists this ribosomal RNA (253 nucleotides) under uncultured bacterium. RNAcentral describes it as "partial 16S ribosomal RNA". It matches the Rfam family "Bacterial small subunit ribosomal RNA", at positions 524 to 776 of the family's 1533-position model. The record is from RNAcentral.